CCUACGGGCGGCAGCAGUGGGGAAUAUUGCGCAAUGGGCGAAAGCCUGACGCAGCGACGCCGCGUGAGGGAUGAAGGUCUUCGGAUCGUAAACCUCUGUCAGCAGGGAAGAACGGUCACUGUGCUAAUCAGCAGUGAAUUGACGGUACCUGCAAAGGAAGCACCGGCUAACUCCGUGCCAGCAGCCGCGGGAAUACGGAGGGUGCGAGCGUUAAUCGGAAUUACUGGGCGUAAAGCGCUCGUAGGCGGUAUGUCAAGUCAAGGGUGAAAUCCCCGCGCUCAACGUGGGAACUGCCUUUGAAACUGGCAAACUGGAGUGUGUGAGAGGAUAGUGGAAUUCCAGGUGUAGGAGUGAAAUGCGUAGAUAUCUGGAGGAACAUCAGUGGCGAAGGCGACUAUCUGGCACAUAACUGACGCUGAGGAGCGAAAGCGUGGGUAGCAAACAGGAUUAGAUACCCUUGUAGUC
Molecule: ribosomal RNA, 465 nt
Filed under: uncultured bacterium
Lineage: Bacteria
Description: partial 16S ribosomal RNA
Rfam family: Bacterial small subunit ribosomal RNA
Source: RNAcentral